RNAcentral lists this ribosomal RNA (256 nucleotides) under uncultured Gardnerella sp. RNAcentral's name for it is "partial 16S ribosomal RNA". It matches the Rfam family "Bacterial small subunit ribosomal RNA", at positions 99 to 354 of the family's 1533-position model. The record is from RNAcentral. Lineage: Bacteria; Bacillati; Actinomycetota; Actinomycetes; Bifidobacteriales; Bifidobacteriaceae.
CGAACGGGUGAGUAAUGCGUGACCAACCUGCCCCAUGCUCCAGAAUAGCUCUUGGAAACGGGUGGUAAUGCUGGAUGCUCCAACUUGACGCAUGUCUUGUUGGGAAAGUGUUUAGUGGCAUGGGAUGGGGUCGCGUCCUAUCAGCUUGUAGGCGGGGUAAUGGCCCACCUAGGCUUCGACGGGUAGCCGGCCUGAGAGGGCGGACGGCCACAUUGGGACUGGGAUACGGCCCAGACUCCUACGGGAGGCAGCAGGC